RNAcentral lists this long non-coding RNA (1393 nucleotides) under Junco hyemalis (dark-eyed junco). Its description in RNAcentral is "lncRNA (ENSJHYG00000008424.1)". The record is from RNAcentral. Lineage: Eukaryota; Metazoa; Chordata; Aves; Passeriformes; Passerellidae.
AGCGCGGGAAACAGAAACGAAGCGGCUGCCGGAAAGAGCCGAGGGGCGGAGAUCGGCGCGUUUCAGAGCGCUUUGCCCCGCCCCCUUUUCCGGAAAAACCCGAAGCGUUCCCGAAAGAGCCGAAGCGGGGUCGAAGCGCCGGAACGAGUCGAUCUCCUUCCGGAAGAAGCUGAAGCGCCCUCGGGCCCGCCGGAGUCUUUGCAGAAAGUGCUGAGGGGUCCCUGCCCCCCUUCCGGAGACCCCCGAGCCCCUCCCCCCAUUCCGGAGACCCCCCGAGCCCCUCCCUUCCCCCCCCCUGUUCCGGAGAUCCCCGAAGCGGUUCCGGAGCUCCCGGAAGCGGCUCCCGAGCAGCGCCGGCGGAGCCCGAGGCCGAAACGGUUCCGAAGCGGGUCCGGAACUCGCCAGGCGGCUCCGGAGUUUGCCGAGAGAUUCCGAAGCCCUGCGGAGGUUCUCGAAGCGAUUCCAGAGACCCGCGAAGCGGCCCCGGAGAUCGCCCAGAGGUUCCGAAGCGGUUCCGGAGAGUCCCGAACCUCCUCCCGCCUUUCCGGAAGGUUCCGAGCGGCUCCGGACAUCGCUGAGGCCGUUCCGCAAAGCCCCGAAACGGUUCCGAAGCGGUUCCGGAAGUCGCCAAGCACCUCCGGAGCUUCCCGAAGCGCUUCCGGAAACUCCCGAAGUCGCAGCGAAGCAAUUCCGGAGCUUUACGAAGAGAUCCCGGAAGUUGCCGAGCCGGCCGGCCCUCAGCGCUCGCCCCCGGUCCCCGUCGCCCCCGGAGCCCCCGAACCGGAGCCGCCCCCGGCUCGGCCCCGCUCCCUCGGCCCCGGGGGGGGCCCGGACCCGCCCCGGCCCCGCCGCCCCGGCCCGGCAGGAUGAUCAAGCUGUUCUCGCUGAAGCAGCAGAAGAAGGAGGAGGAAUCGGCGGGCGGCACCAAGAGCUCCAGCAAAAAGGCCUCGGCCGCGCAGCUUCGCAUCCAGAAAGGUCUGAGGGGAGGCGGCGGGCGCAGUCUGGGGCCAGCAGGGCCGCACACUGGGGCCAGUAAGAGCUGGACACUGGACCCAGUAAGGGUCCCAAACUGGGCCUGUGAGGGUCCCGAACUGGGACCAGUAAGGGCUGGAAACUGGGGCCAGUGAGGGUCUCAAGUGGGGCCAGCAGGGCUACACACUGCGGCCAGUAAUGGCCUCAUACUGGGGCCAGUGAGAGUCCCGAACUGGGACCAGUGAGGGCACACACUGGGCCCAGAAAAGGCCUCGAACUGCGGCCAGUAACGGCCACACACUGAGGCCAGUAAUGGCCGCACACGGGGCCCUGCCGGGCCUCAAACUGGGACCAGUAAGGGCCACAAAUUUGGGCCAGUAAGGGUCCCAAACUGACCCAAGUAAAGGCUGCAGACUGGGGC